AACGAACGCUGGCGGCAUGCCUAACACAUGCAAGUCGAACGGCAGCACGGGAACAAUCCUGGUGGCGAGUGGCGAACGGGUGAGUAACAUAUCGGAACGUGCCCAGUAGUGGGGGAUAGCCCGGCGAAAGCCGGAUUAAUACCGCAUACGACCUGUGGGUGAAAGCGGGGGAUCGCAAGACCUCGCGCUAUUGGAGCGGCCGAUAUCAGAUUAGCUAGUUGGUGGGGUAAAAGCCCACCAAGGCGACGAUCUGUAGCUGGUCUGAGAGGACGACCAGCCACACUGGGACUGAGACACGGCCCAGACUCCUACGGGAGGCAGCAGUGGGGAAUUUUGGACAAUGGGCGCAAGCCUGAUCCAGCCAUGCCGCGUGUGGGAAGAAGGCCUUCGGUUGUAACACUUUGUCAGGAAGAAACGGCGUCUUACUAAUAUUAGGGCGUAA
Molecule: ribosomal RNA, 442 nt
Filed under: uncultured bacterium
Lineage: Bacteria
Description: bacterial SSU rRNA
Rfam family: Bacterial small subunit ribosomal RNA
Source: RNAcentral